Molecule: non-coding RNA, 27 nt
Filed under: Cricetulus griseus (Chinese hamster)
Lineage: Eukaryota; Metazoa; Chordata; Mammalia; Rodentia; Cricetidae
Source: RNAcentral
GUAGAACAGAGAACUGACAGAAAGUAA